GCGGCCGCCAUUUCAGGGAGCUUGUCGACGCUGUCGCAGGGGUGGAUCCUGAGCUGCCGAAGCCGCCGUCCUGCUCUCCCGCGUGGGCUUCUCUAAUUCCAUUGUUUUUUUUAGAUUCUCUCGGGCCUAGCCGUCCUUGGAACCCGAUAUUCGGGCUGGGCGGUUCCGCGGCCUGGGCCUAGGGGCUUAACAGUAGCAACAGAAGCGGCGGCGGCGGCAGCAGCAGCAGCAGCAGCAGCAAUCUCUUCCCGAACACGAGCACCACAGGCGCCCGAAGGCCGGAACAGGCGUUUAGAGAAAAUGGCAGACGAUAUUGAUAUUGAAGCAAUGCUUGAGGCUCCUUACAAGAAGACUUGCCUAACGAUAUCUCACCUCUACUCCCAUGAAUUCACCUUUGAUUCCAGUGUGAACUGUCAAUCAUAAGGGCGAGAUGUGUGACAGAGGUGGCAUCAAGCUCUUACAGUCCCAACCCUCCAACGGAAAUGGGCGAAGAUCUCAGGAAUGGCAUCGGUCACAGGAAAUCGAUAGUGGCUGGCUGCUAGCAUGGCCACUUGGGGCUUAGGCAGAAAUAGAGCCAUGGUACUGACCAAAGGGACCAUAGCACAUGGAAUAAAACUCAAAACAGGACUUCAUGUUUUAUGGAAAUUAUAUUUAACCACUUCAACAUUGUAAAUCUGGAUAACUUUUAAUAUCUAAACUAUAUAAGAAAGUAAAAUUUAACAUGUUAAUAUGGAAAAUUUUUUUAUUUUUGUAUCUUGAUGACUUAAAUGUAAGCAACAAAGUGGUUAAACACAUACCCAUCUAAAUUUUUUUAUAGCCUUCCAUGUUAAACUAUAAGUAAAUAAUUAGUUUUAAAAUUGUUUUGUAUU
This 869-nucleotide long non-coding RNA is filed under the name Homo sapiens (human). Its description in RNAcentral is "non-protein coding lnc-NFS1-1:6". The record is from RNAcentral. Lineage: Eukaryota; Metazoa; Chordata; Mammalia; Primates; Hominidae.